GGUUAAGCGACUAAGCGUACACGGUGGAUGCCCUGGCAGUCAGAGGCGAUGAAGGACGUGCUAAUCUGCGAUAAGCGUCGGUAAGGUGAUAUGAACCGUUAUAACCGGCGAUUUCCGAAUGGGGAAACCCAGUGUGAUUCGUCACACUAUCAUUAACUGAAUCCAUAGGUUAAUGAGGCGAACCGGGGGAACUGAAACAUCUAAGUACCCCGAGGAAAAGAAAUCAACCGAGAUUCCCCCAGUAGCGGCGAGCGAACGGGGAGCAGCCCAGAGCCUGAAUCAGUGUGUGUGUUAGUGGAAGCGUCUGGAAAGGCGCGCGAUACAGGGUGACAGCCCCGUACACAAAAAUGCACAUACUGUGAGCUCGAUGAGUAGGGCGGGACACGUGGUAUCCUGUCUGAAUAUGGGGGGACCAUCCUCCAAGGCUAAAUACUCCUGACUGACCGAUAGUGAACCAGUACCGUGAGGGAAAGGCGAAAAGAACCCCGGCGAGGGGAGUGAAAAAGAACCUGAAACCGUGUACGUACAAGCAGUGGGAGCCUCUUUAUGGGGUGACUGCGUACCUUUUGUAUAAUGGGUCAGCGACUUAUAUUCUGUAGCAAGGUUAACCGAAUAGGGGAGCCGAAGGGAAACCGAGUCUUAACUGGGCGUUAAGUUGCAGGGUAUAGACCCGAAACCCGGUGAUCUAGCCAUGGGCAGGUUGAAGGUUGGGUAACACUAACUGGAGGACCGAACCGACUAAUGUUGAAAAAUU
Molecule: ribosomal RNA, 754 nt
Filed under: Escherichia coli IS1
Lineage: Bacteria; Pseudomonadati; Pseudomonadota; Gammaproteobacteria; Enterobacterales; Enterobacteriaceae
Description: LSU rRNA
Rfam family: Bacterial large subunit ribosomal RNA
Source: RNAcentral